RNAcentral lists this ribosomal RNA (433 nucleotides) under uncultured bacterium. Its description in RNAcentral is "partial 16S ribosomal RNA". It matches the Rfam family "Bacterial small subunit ribosomal RNA", at positions 29 to 507 of the family's 1533-position model. The record is from RNAcentral.
AACGAACGCUGGCGGCAUGCCUAACACAUGCAAGUCGAACGAGACCUUCGGGUCUAGUGGCGCACGGGUGCGUAACGCGUGGGAACCUGCCCUUAGGUUCGGAAUAACUCCCCGAAAGGGGUGCUAAUACCGGAUAAUGUCUUCGGACCAAAGAUUUAUCGCCUUUGGAUGGGCCCGCGUUGGAUUAGCUAGUUGGUAGGGUAAAAGCCUACCAAGGCGACGAUCCAUAGCUGGUCUGAGAGGAUGAUCAGCUACACUGGGACUGAGACACGGCCCAGACUCCUACGGGAGGGAGGAGUGGGGAAUAUUGGACAAUGGGCGAAAGCCUGAUCAAGCAAUGUGGGGUGAGUGAUGAAGGCCUUAGGGUUGUAAAGCUCCUUUACCCGGGAUGAUAAUGACAGUACCGGGAGAAUAAGCACCGGCUAACUACGUG